Molecule: transfer RNA, 87 nt
Filed under: Streptomyces phage Squillium
Lineage: Duplodnaviria; Heunggongvirae; Uroviricota; Caudoviricetes; Stanwilliamsviridae
Also listed under: 2 other names
Description: tRNA-Ser
Rfam family: tRNA
About the family: Transfer RNA (tRNA) molecules are approximately 80 nucleotides in length. Their secondary structure includes four short double-helical elements and three loops (D, anti-codon, and T loops).
Source: RNAcentral
GGAGGCACGCAUUGGUGGGCUCAUCGGUCUUGAAAACCGUGAUGGCGUAGUGAUAUGCCGUGGGGGUUCGAUUCCCUCUGUCUCCGC